AACCUCCGCAAUGUGAGAAAUCGCGACGGGGGGAUCCCAAGUGCCAUUCUUAACGGGAUGGCUUUUCAUUAGUGUAAAGAGCUUUUGGAAUAAGGGCUGGGCAAGACCGGUGCCAGCCGCCGCGGUAACACCGGCAGCUCUAGUGGUAGCAGUUUUUAUUGGGCCUAAAGCGUCCGUAGCCGGUUUAAUAAGUCUCUGGUGAAAUCCUGUAGCUUAACUGUGGGAAUUGCUGGAGAUACUAUUAGACUUGAGACCGGGAGAGGUUAGAGGUACUCCCAGGGUAGAGGUGAAAUUCUGUAAUCCUGGGAGGACCGCCUGUUGCGAAGGCGUCUAACUGGAACGGUUCUGACGGUGAGGGACGAAAGUUAGGGGCGCGAACCGGAUUAGAUACCCGGGUAGUCCUAACUGUAAACGAUGCGGACUUGGUGUUGGGGUGGCUUUGAGCUGCUCCAGUGCCGAAGGGGAGCUGUUAAGUCCGCCGCCUGGGAAGUACGGUCGCAAGACUGAAACUUAAAGGAAUU
This 521-nucleotide ribosomal RNA is filed under the name uncultured bacterium. RNAcentral's name for it is "bacterial SSU rRNA". It matches the Rfam family "Archaeal small subunit ribosomal RNA", at positions 345 to 866 of the family's 1478-position model. The record is from RNAcentral.